CCAAUAGCGUAUAUUAAAGUUGUUGCAGUUAAAAAGCUCGUAGUUGAAUUUCGGAAUCGAUGGAUCGGUCAUGCCAUUCGGUGUGUACUGGUUUAAUUGGUUCUCACCUUCUAAGGAACCGUGAUGUCAUUAAUUUGGUGUCGCGGGAAAUUAGGACUGUUACCUUGAAAAAAUUAGAGUGUUUAAAGCAAGCUCACGCUUGAAUACAUUAGCAUGGAAUAAUGAAAUAGGACAUUGUAUUCUAUUUUGUUGGUUUCUAGGAUCGAUGUAAUGAUUAAUA
Molecule: ribosomal RNA, 280 nt
Filed under: uncultured Glomus
Lineage: Eukaryota; Fungi; Glomeromycota; Glomeromycetes; Glomerales; Glomeraceae
Description: partial 18S small subunit ribosomal RNA
Rfam family: Eukaryotic small subunit ribosomal RNA
Source: RNAcentral